Long non-coding RNA from Homarus americanus (American lobster), 1373 nucleotides. RefSeq lists it as uncharacterized. NCBI's taxonomy places the organism in Eukaryota, Metazoa, Arthropoda, Malacostraca, Decapoda, Nephropidae. The record is from RefSeq and is a predicted model, not a curated record. The transcript has 3 exons.
AGAUGUUCCUUUGAUUACGUAAGGUAAAAUGGCGUCGAAGUUAGUGAUAAGCGGCGUUCCCGAAGAUCUAAAUGACGCCUUCCUCGACUCCACAGCCCAAAGUGAAGACAUGACGGACCUCAAGAUUGACCAACACGACGAGUUACCUGAUUUAAAAGACGGCGCAUAAUUAUGCAACGUCUGAUCAUAACCAACGGCGACAAUCCCCAUCAGAACGUGUGUGCCGCCAGGAAGGACCAUCACACAGGCUGAUAAACGGAAGGUACUAGACGACCACAGGAGGAGGAUGGUCAACAGUGGUGGUGAUAGUGUUGAUGGGAGGACCACCAACAUGUUUAUCCACCAGCCCCAUAGAGCAUCUACGUAUACUGAACGUCACAUCUAUGUAUGCUCGCUCCUCAGAUCAGCCAUCACACCAGACCAGGACCAGGACCUGUACGAGAGAAGGAAUACUGUGGUCUACCUUACAGUAUGUUAUUGAGUUAGUUACUUUACAGUAGAAGUAAGUGGCCACACCAGUACUUAACAGAUUAUUUAACUAUGUUGAGUUUUGGUGUUGCUGUGUUAUUUGAACCUUUCUAUAGAUUUGUAAACUGACUUUAGACGGUGUUUAAGAUUAGGUUUCUAACAGUUAAAACUGUGGUUAAGUUGUGUGGAAGUGAGACAAUGACUUAGCACUAUGCUGAAGGUGUUUAAAAGUGAGAAAGUGACUUAUAGUGAAGUUUGUAGAAGUGAGGAUAUUAGUUUAAAAAAUUGUGUAUGGGAGAAAAUGACUAAUUACCUUCAUGAGAUUUAGAGUAUAGUUUAAUUUUUAUACAAGAAGUUGGAGGUCAAUACUGUAGGCGUAAUAUUUUUUAGGGUUUAAAAUUCUUCCUUUUCCGCGGAUCAUUUACAGUGAAAGGUACAGUGCAGAGUGAGAGAAGGCUGGUUGUAUAUUAAGGUUGAGAGAGGAAAGGCUGUACAGUACUGUACUAAGUUAAUGGAUCGGGAAGACUGCCGGACGUAUGACUGACGAGUAUUACAGUAAAGGAGGGAAAGCUGUUGAGUGUAUGACUAAGAUAAUACAGUACUGAAGUUGUAUGAGCAAGAGAAAAGGCUGGUGAUGUGAAUUAAAACUGUGCUGAAAUAAUGAAUAAUUGAGGGAAACUUGACUAGAAUGUAAGAUUUACUGUACUGAAGCAGAUAAAGAGUGAGGGAGGACUGUAGACUAGACUGAAGUUUUAUACAAGUGAAGGAAGGAUUUGUAUUACUUAAUCUGCACUGGAUUUCUUUCUUUCUUUCUUUCGUUUCUUCCACAUCCUAGGUUAGGUUUUAUUUCAUCAGAGCCAACCAUAAAGAGAGUCAUCUAUUAACUGCAGCUGACCCCACCAUAG